This 497-nucleotide ribosomal RNA is filed under the name uncultured bacterium. RNAcentral describes it as "partial 16S ribosomal RNA". It matches the Rfam family "Bacterial small subunit ribosomal RNA", at positions 28 to 507 of the family's 1533-position model. The record is from RNAcentral.
GAUGAACGCUGGCGGCGUGCCUAAUACAUGCAAGUCGAGCGAACAGACGAGGAGCUUGCUCCUCUGACGUUAGCGGCGGACGGGUGAGUAACACGUGGAUAACCUACCUAUAAGACUGGGAUAACUUCGGGAAACCGGAGCUAAUACCGGAUAAUAUAUUUAACCGCAUGGUUCAAUAGUGAAAGACGGUUUUGCUGUCACUUAUAGAUGGAUCCCGUCCGAUUUAGCUAGUGGGUAAGGUAACGGCUUACAAGGGGGACGAUGCGUAGCCGACGUGAGAGGGUGAUCGGCCACACUGGAACUGAACAACGGUCAAGACUCCUACGGGAGGCAGCAGUAGGGAAUCUUCGGCAAUGGGCGAAAGCCUGACGGAGCAACGCCGCGUGAGUGAUGAAGGUCUUCGGAUCGUAAAACUCUGUUAUUAGGGAAGAACAAAUGUGUAAGUAACUAUGCACGUCUUGACGGUACCUAAUCAGAAAGCCACGGCUAACUACGUG